GACUGUGACCGGACCCCCAUUGACAUGACAAGGGACCCAACAGUCCACAUUCUUUUUUAGGAUGGAACUAGGGCUCCAACACAUGCUUAUCUCCUCCCUCUACCAAGAGGUAGGUAGUCCCACGGCUCCGUCCAAUUCCGUCUCUUCUCCACCAUUUCAUGUCUUCUUCUUGAGGCAUUGAGCAGGUGUUUCUGAUGGUGGACCCAUAAAUGCAGAGCAACCCAGUUUUUCUGAUCUUAGGAGGGGAGAGAAAAGGACCCACCACAUGAGUGAUUCCUGGAAAUGUCUUUUGUCCUGCCCUAGAGUUUUUUUAUUUUCUAUAAGAGAAAAGAACAUUGGUGGGGGGAAAUUGCUGUCACUUCAUGUACAGAUAUGUCCACAUGCACUCAUUUAAAAUCUCUUUAUUUAUUUAUUUAUAUUUUCUUGCAAUGCACUCAUUUGAACUGGA
Eucalyptus grandis is the source of this 448-nucleotide long non-coding RNA. RefSeq lists it as uncharacterized. The record is from RefSeq and is a predicted model, not a curated record. The transcript is spliced from 2 exons. Lineage: Eukaryota; Viridiplantae; Streptophyta; Magnoliopsida; Myrtales; Myrtaceae.